GAUGAACGCUGGCGGCGUGCCUAAUACAUGCAAGUCGAGCGAACAGAUGAGGAGCUUGCUCCUCUGACGUUAGCGGCGGACGGGUGAGUAACACGUGGAUAACCUACCUAUAAGACUGGGAUAACUUCGGGAAACCGGAGCUAAUACCGGAUAAUAUAUUGAACCGUAUGGUUCAAUAGUGAAAGACGGUUUUGCUGUCACUUAUAGAUGGAUCCGCGCCGCAUUAGCUAGUUGGUAAGGUAACGGCUUACCAAGGCAACGAUGCGUAGUCGACCUGAGAGGGUGAUCGGCCACACUGGAACUGAGACACGGUCCAGACUCCUACGGGAGGCAGCAGUAGGGAAUCUUCCGCAAUGGGCGAAAGCCUGACGGAGCAACGCCGCGUGAGUGAUGAAGGUCUUCGGAUCGUAAAACUCUGUUAUUAGGGAAGAACAAAUGUGUAAGUAACUAUGCACGUCUUGACGGUACCUAAUCAGAAAGCCACGGCUAACUACGUG
This 497-nucleotide ribosomal RNA is filed under the name uncultured bacterium. RNAcentral's name for it is "partial 16S ribosomal RNA". It matches the Rfam family "Bacterial small subunit ribosomal RNA", at positions 28 to 507 of the family's 1533-position model. The record is from RNAcentral.